RNAcentral lists this ribosomal RNA (497 nucleotides) under uncultured bacterium. Its description in RNAcentral is "partial 16S ribosomal RNA". It matches the Rfam family "Bacterial small subunit ribosomal RNA", at positions 28 to 507 of the family's 1533-position model. The record is from RNAcentral.
GACGAACGCUGGCGGCGUGCCUAAUACAUGCAAGUAGAACGCUGAAGAGAGGAGCUUGCUCUUCUUGGAUGAGUUGCGAACGGGUGAGUAACGCGUAGGUAACCUGCCUUGUAGCGGGGGAUAACUAUUGGAAACGAUAGCUAAUACCGCAUAACAAUGGAUGACACAUGUCAUUUAUUUGAAAGGGGCAAUUGCUCCACUACAAGAUGGACCUGCGUUGUAUUAGCUAGUAGGUGAGGUAAUGGCUCACCUAGGCGACGAUACAUAGCCGACCUGAGAGGGUGAUCGGCCACACUGGGACGGAGACACGGCCCAGACUCCUACGGGAGGCAGCAGGAGGGAAUCUUCGGCAAUGGGGGCAACCCUGACCGAGCAACGCCGGGGGAGGGAAGAAGGUUUUCGGGUCGGAAAGCUCUGUUGUAAGUCAAGAACGGGUGUGAGAGUGGAAAGUUCACACUGUGACGGUAGCUUACCAGAAAGGGACGGCUAACUACGUG